UGGACUGAGAUGUCGAUCUGCUAUUGGUGCCUUUGAGGCUUGGCUGCCGGAGCUUACGCGUUAAAUCGACCGCCUGGGGAGUACGGCCGCAAGGUUAAAACUCAAAUGAAUUGACGGGGGCCCGCACAAGCGGUGGAGCAUGUGGUUUAAUUCGAUGCAACGCGAAGAACCUUACCUGGUCUUGACAUCCUGAGAACUUUCCAGAGAUGGAUUGGUGCCUUCGGGAACUGUCAUACAGGUGCUGCAUGGCUGUCGUCAGCUCGUGUUGUGAAAUGUUGGGUUAAGUCCCGCAACGAGCGCAACCCUUUUCCUUUGUUGCCAGCGUGUAGAGUCGGAACUCAUAGGAAACUGGCCUUGAUAAAAUGGAGGAAAGGGGGGAUGAACUCCAGUCCUCUUGGGCCUUACGACCCGGGCUACACACCUGGUACCAUGGGAUAUGCAAAUAGAAUGCAACUCGCGGGAGCGAUCGGACCCCAGAAAGUAUGUCGAAUGCCGGAUUGGAGUCUGCUAAUUGACUCCGUGAACUCCGAAUCUCUCGUAAUCGUCGAUCAGAAUGCUACAGUGACUACGUUCCCGGGCCCUGUACCCACCGCCCCUCGCACCAUGGGAGUGGGUUGCAACCGAAACUAGUAGCUUAACCUUCUAGAAGGCGCUUACCAACUUGGUAUUCAUGACUGGGGGGAAUCAUAAAAGGGGACACAA
This 702-nucleotide ribosomal RNA is filed under the name Klebsiella sp. RNAcentral's name for it is "bacterial SSU rRNA". It matches the Rfam family "Bacterial small subunit ribosomal RNA", at positions 796 to 1504 of the family's 1533-position model. The record is from RNAcentral. Lineage: Bacteria; Pseudomonadati; Pseudomonadota; Gammaproteobacteria; Enterobacterales; Enterobacteriaceae.